GUAUAAUGGGUCAGCGACUUAUAUUCUGUAGCAAGGUUAACCGUAUAGGGGAGCCGAAGGGAAACCGAGUCUUAACCGGGCGUUAAGUUGCAGGGUAUAGACCCGAAACCCGGUGAUCUAGCCAUGGGCAGGUUGAAGGUUGGGUAACACUAACUGGAGGACCGAACCGACUAAUGUUGAAAAAUUAGCGGAUGACCUGUGGCUGGGGGUGAAAGGCCAAUCAAACCGGGAGAUAGCUGGUUCUCCCCGAAAGCUAUUUAGGUAGCGCCUCGUGAAUUCAUCUCCGGGGGUAGAGCACUGUUUCGGCUAGGGGGCCAUCCCGGCUUACCAACCCGAUGCAAACUGCGAAUACCGGAGAAUGUUAUCACGGGAGACACACGGCGGGUGCUAACGUCCGUCGUGAAGAGGGAAACAACCCAGACCGCCAGCUAAGGUCCCAAAGUCAUGGUUAAGUGGGAAACGAUGUGGGAAGGCCCAGACAGCCAGGAUGUUGGCUUAGAAGCAGCCAUCAUUUAAAGAAAGCGUAAUAGCUCACUGGUCGAGUCGGCCUGCGCGGAAGAUGUAACGGGGCUAAACCAU
RNAcentral lists this ribosomal RNA (579 nucleotides) under Salmonella enterica. RNAcentral's name for it is "partial 23S ribosomal RNA". It matches the Rfam family "Bacterial large subunit ribosomal RNA", at positions 610 to 1190 of the family's 2925-position model. RNAcentral also lists the same sequence under 1 other name. Lineage: Bacteria; Pseudomonadati; Pseudomonadota; Gammaproteobacteria; Enterobacterales; Enterobacteriaceae. The record is from RNAcentral.